Molecule: ribosomal RNA, 251 nt
Filed under: uncultured bacterium
Lineage: Bacteria
Description: partial 16S ribosomal RNA
Rfam family: Bacterial small subunit ribosomal RNA
Source: RNAcentral
CAAAAUAAGUGAUAUAGAGCAAAACCCUAAAAAACGGUACUCAGUUCGGAUUGAAGGCUGAAAUUCGCCUUCAUGAAGCUGGAAUUGCUAGUAAUGGCAGGUCAGCAUACUGCCGUGAAUACGUUCCCGGGCCUUGUACACACCGCCCGUCACACCAUGAGAGUUGGGAAUACCCGAAGCCUGUGAGCUAACAUAUGAGGCAGCAGUCGAAGGUAGAAUCAAUGAUUGGGGUGAAGUCGUAACAAGGUACC